RNAcentral lists this long non-coding RNA (2027 nucleotides) under Podarcis lilfordi (Lilford's wall lizard). The record is from RNAcentral. Lineage: Eukaryota; Metazoa; Chordata; Lepidosauria; Squamata; Lacertidae.
UGAAGAGACAGCAAAACACAGCCCAGAUACAUUGGAUGGUAUUUGAUGAUCUGCUUAAAUUAAUGAACAUGACUUAAGUUCAGUCCAUUGAUUUCAACAGACCUACUGUAAGUAUAACUAUGCCUCCCAUUCUGUCACAUUCUGUCCACUAGCGUGGAUGGCAAGCAGCAAAACAGCACUGAGUAUUCUGACUGGGGCUGGUGGGAGGAAGAGGAAUAUGUAGAAGCUAAUAUAUAAGGUCCCCUUUAUAAGGUAUAUAAGGUCCCCGUCGGGCAGGACCAGCCCUAUACAUUUUGCUGCCUAAGGUGAAGGACAGAUUGGGGAGGGGGUCCUCCUCCCUAUUCCUCCUACAAAAGCCCCCUUUACAGAACUGGUUUUCAAGUCCCGAUUUCAUCUUCUAUGCAUACCAAAGAAAGAACAUGACUCUUGCAUGAGUCUUACCACAAAUGUGUGUGUGUGUGUGUGUGAUCUGAGUGGGAGAGAAGUUUUGCAUUGUGCUACCUGCACUGUGCAGUCGUCCCCCUUCCCCUUCCCUGUUGGUCUUGCUGUGCUCUGCUUGCAGCUCUGAGACUCUCCAGAUUGCUCAGUACACAUACAUUUUCGGGUUAUUGAUUAGCUGAUGCAUGCCACCUUGGGUAUCCAACUAGACUGCUCCACAAAGAGUUUUAACCGGGCAAUGGAACAUCCCCACCUUCUCCUCCCCCUGCACAUCCCUGCUCUGGAGAGUUGGGGAAAUCCCUAGAGCAGAUAUAGGAAUAGCACAGGGGGCAUUGGGGGGGGAUGAGAGUGGAGAAGUUCCUUGUACAGCUGAAUCUCAUUGCACUAUGGAAACUGUUUAGUUGGAUACCACCCAGUAUCUAUCUAAAAGGUAAAGGUAAAGGUAAAGGGACCCCUGACCAUUAGGUCCAGCCACGGACAACUCUGGGGUUGCGGUGCUCAUCUCGCUUUAUUGGCCGAGGGAUCCAGCGUACAGCUUCCGGGUCAUGUGGCCAGCUUGACUAAGCUGCUUCUGGCGAACCAGAGCAGCACACGGAAACGCCGUUUACCUUCCUGCCGGAGCGGUACCUAUUGAUCUACUUGCGCUUUGACGUGCUUUCAAACUGCUAGGUUGGCAGGAGCAGGGACUGAGCAACAGGAGCUCACCCCGUCACAGGGAUUCAAACUGCCAACCUUCUGAUCGGCAACCCCUAGGCUCUAUCAUCUAUCUAUCUAUCUAUCUAUCUAUCUAUCAUCUAUCAUCUAUCUGUCUAUCUAUCUAUCUAUCAUCUAUCUCUAUCUAUCAUCUAUCUAUCUAUCUAUCUAUCUAUCAUCUAUCUAUCUAUCUAUCUAUCGAUCGAUCGAUCGAUCGAUCUAUCAUCUACUGUACUUUUCCGUGUAUAAGAUGAGGGGUUUUUCUUUUACUAUAAAAUAAAGUUUAAAAACUGGGGGCGUCUUAUACACAGACAGUGGGUAGGGGUGAAGGGUGAUUGAUUGCAGCCGCGAGCUGCAGAUUGUCAUUGGCGAUUUUGUGUGUGACUGGUGGCUGCAGCAAGGGUUGCUUUGUAUUGGCUGAUGCUGCGUUAAAUGGGUCUUUGAUUGGUUGCUGUGUCAAGGGCUGAUGUGGAUUGGUUGGCGCUGUGGCAAUUGUACUUGCUAUUUCCUGCCGCCGUUUGUGAUCGGGCAGACGCUUGUUGCAGACUCGAGCGAUUGUCAGUGAGCUGUGCGAGCAAUUGCAACCGUCGGGUUAGUGAUUUACUGCAUCCCCCCCCCCAAAAAAAACCACCUCAACAACCUCUGGCAAAAAAAAAAAAGCUCCACAACUCUGGGUCAUUUUCUUAAAUUGUAGUUCCCCAAAAUAGGGGGCAUCUUAUACAUGGGGGGCGUGUUAUUCACAGAAAAGUACGGUAUUUAUCUAUCUAUUCACACAGGUUACUUCCAGAGGUGGACGAUUCAGCAGCACCCAGUCAUUGCACUUCUGCUUCAAGGUGGAAGUGCAAUUGCUGCUCAGCUUCCAGGCUUCUAUUUGGCCUCUGACUUGCAACCAGGUG